GACGAACGCUGGCGGCGUGCUUAACACAUGCAAGUGGAGCGACGAACCGGGGCUUGCCCCGGGGCAGAGCCGCGAACGGGUGAGUAACACGUGGGUAACCUGCCUCAAUGAUUGGGACAACCCCGGGGAAACUCGGGCUAAUACCAAAUGUGUUCACUCCUUCUAAGGGGAGUGAGGAAAGGAAGCUUCGGCCUCCGCAUUGAGAUGGGCCCGCGGCCCAUUAGCUUGUUGGUGAGGUAACGGCUCACCAAGGCUUCGAUGGGUAGCUGGUCUGAGAGGACGAUCAGCCACACUGGGACUGAGACACGGCCCAGACUCCUACGGGAGGCAGCAGUGGGGAAUCUUGCACAAUGCGCGAAAGCGUGAUGCAGCAACGCCGCGUGGGGGAAGACGGCCUUCGGGUUGUAAACCCCGUUUCACGUU
Molecule: ribosomal RNA, 423 nt
Filed under: uncultured bacterium
Lineage: Bacteria
Description: bacterial SSU rRNA
Rfam family: Bacterial small subunit ribosomal RNA
Source: RNAcentral